UGGCUCAGGAUGAACGCUAGCGGCAGGCUUAACACAUGCAAGUCGAGGGGCAGCGGGGAGGAAGCUUGCUUUCUCUGCCGGCGACCGGCGCACGGGUGAGUAACACGUAUGCAACCUGCCCCUGUCAGGGGGACAACCCGCCGAAAGGCGGGCUAAACCCGCGUACAUGCCACCGGGGCAUCCCGGAGGCAGGAAAGGCUUCGGCCGGACAGGGAUGGGCAUGCGGCGCAUUAGGCAGUAGGCGGGGUAACGGCCCACCUAACCGACGAUGCGUAGGGGUUCUGAGAGGAAGGUCCCCCACACUGGUACUGAGACACGGACCAGACUCCUACGGGAGGCAGCAGUGAGGAAUAUUGGUCAAUGGUCGGGAGACUGAACCAGCCAAGCCGCGUGAGGGAUGGAGGUACAGAGUAUCGUAAACCUCUUUUGUCAGGGAACAAAGGCGGGGACGUGUCCCCGGAUGAGUGUACCUGAAGAAAAAGCAUCGGCUAACUCCGUGCCAGCAGCCGCGGUAAUACGGAGGAUGCGAGCGUUAUCCGGAUUUAUUGGGUUUAAAGGGUGCGCAGGCGGUCUGUUAAGUCAGCGGUCAAAGCCCGGGGCUCAACCCCGGCCCGCCGUUGAAACUGGCAGUCUCGAGUUGGAGAGAAGUAUGCGGAAUGCGCGGUGUAGCGGUGAAAUGCAUAGAUAUCGCGCAGAACUCCGAUUGCGAAGGCAGCAUGCCGGCUCCACACUGACGCUGAGGCACGAAAGCGUGGGUAUCGAACAGGAUUAGAUACCCUGGUAGUCCACGCAGUAAACGAUGAAUGCUGGCUGUCCGGGGGGACUGACCCCUGGGUGGCGAAGCGAAAGCGAUAAGCAUUCCACCUGGGGAGUACGCCGGCGACGGUGAAACUCAAAGGAAUUGACGGGGGCCCGCACAAGCGGAGGAACAUGUGGUUUAAUUCGAUGAUACGCGAGGAACCUUACCCGGGCUCAAACGGGGAGUGACUCAGGCAGAGACGCCUGUUUCCCACGGGACACUCCCCGAGGUGCUGCAUGGUUGUCGUCAGCUCGUGCCGUGAGGUGUCGGCUUAAGUGCCAUAACGAGCGCAACCCCCGCGUGCAGUUGCUAACAGUCAACGCUGAGGACUCUGCACGGACUGCCGGCGCAAGCCGCGAGGAAGGCGGGGAUGACGUCAAAUCAGCACGGCCCUUACGUCCGGGGCGACACACGUGUUACAAUGGGUGGUACAGCGGGAAGCCAGGCGGCGACGCCGAGCGGAACCCGAAAUCCACUCUCAGUUCGGAUCGGAGUCUGCAACCCGACUCCGUGAAGCUGGAUUCGCUAGUAAUCGCGCAUCAGCCAUGGCGCGGUGAAUACGUUCCCGGGUCUUGUACACACCGCCCGUCAAGCCAUGGGAGCCGAGGGCGCUUGAAGUGCGUCGCCGCGAGGCGCGCCCUAGAGCGAAAUCGGUGACUGGGGCUAAGUCGUAACAAGGUAGCCG
Molecule: ribosomal RNA, 1484 nt
Filed under: uncultured bacterium
Lineage: Bacteria
Description: 16S ribosomal RNA
Rfam family: Bacterial small subunit ribosomal RNA
Source: RNAcentral